GAUGAACGCUGGCGGCGUGCCUAAUACAUGCAAGUCGAGCGAACGGACGAGAAGCUUGCUUCUCUGAUGUUAGCGGCGGACGGGUGAGUAACACGUGGAUAACCUACCUAUAAGACUGGGAUAACUUCGGGAAACCGGAGCUAAUACCGGAUAAUAUUUUGAACCGCAUGGUUCAAAAGUGAAAGACGGUCUUGCUGUCACUUAUAGAUGGAUCCGCGCUGCAUUAGCUAGUUGGUAAGGUAACGGCUUACCAAGGCAACGAUGCAUAGCCGACCUGAGAGGGUGGUCGGCCACACUGGAACUGAGACACCGUCCAGACUCCUACGGGAGGCAGCAGUAGCGAAUCUUCCGCAAUGGGCGAAAGCCUGACGGAGCAACGCCGCGUGAGUGAUGAAGGUCUUCGGAUCGUAAAAAUCUGUUAUUAGGGAAGAACAGAUGUGUAAGUAACUGUGCACAUCUUGACGGUACCUAAUCAGAAAGCCACGGCUAACUACGUG
This 497-nucleotide ribosomal RNA is filed under the name uncultured bacterium. Its description in RNAcentral is "partial 16S ribosomal RNA". It matches the Rfam family "Bacterial small subunit ribosomal RNA", at positions 28 to 507 of the family's 1533-position model. The record is from RNAcentral.